Molecule: non-coding RNA, 67 nt
Filed under: Caenorhabditis briggsae
Lineage: Eukaryota; Metazoa; Nematoda; Chromadorea; Rhabditida; Rhabditidae
Source: RNAcentral
CCUUUUCAUGUAUUGAGCCUCUACGUGGCGAAAGGGAUCAACGGACGAAAAGUCUGGCUAAUCAGUA